This 249-nucleotide ribosomal RNA is filed under the name Oscillibacter sp. RNAcentral describes it as "partial 23S ribosomal RNA". It matches the Rfam family "Bacterial large subunit ribosomal RNA", at positions 2678 to 2925 of the family's 2925-position model. The record is from RNAcentral. Lineage: Bacteria; Bacillati; Bacillota; Clostridia; Eubacteriales; Oscillospiraceae.
UUAGUACGAGAGGACCGGGAUGGACAUACCUCUGGUGCACCAGUUGUCGUGCCAACGGCAUAGCUGGGUAGCUACGUAUGGACGAGAUAAACGCUGAAAGCAUCUAAGCGUGAAACUCCCCCUAAGAUGAGAUCUCUCACUUCGUAAGAAGGUAAGGGUCCAGGAAGACUACCUGGUUGAUAGGCCGGAGGUGGAAGUGCAGUAAUGUAUGGAGCUGACCGGUACUAAUAACCCGAGGGCUUGACCUAC